AGUUUGAUCCUGGCUCAAAUUGAACGCUGGCGGCAUGCUUUACUCAUGCUAGUCAGACGGAAGCACACAGAAUCUUGCUUCUUGGGUGGCGAGUGGCGAACGGAUGUAGAUAAUAUAUCGGAAGCAUACCGAGUAGUGCGGGAUAACUAAUCGAAAGAUUAUCUAAUACCGCAUAUUCUCUGAGGAGGAAAGCAGGGGACCUUCGGGCCUUGCGUUAUUCGAGCGGCCGAUAUCUGAUUAUCUAGUUGGUGGGGUAAAGGCCUACCAAGGCGACGAUCAGUAGCGGGUCUGAGAGGAUGAUCCGCCACACUGGGACUGAGACACGGCCCAGACUCCUACGGGAGGCAGCAGUGGGGAAUUUUGGACAAUGGGCGCAAGCCUGAUCCAGCCAUGCCGCGUGUCUGAAGAAGGCCUUCGGGUUGUAAAGGACUUUUGUCAGGGAAGAAAAGGCUGUUGCUAAUAUCGACACCUGAUGACGGUACCUGAAGAAUAAGCACCGGCUAACUACGUGCCAGCAGCCGCGGUAAUACGUAGGGUGCGAGCGUUAAUCGGAAUUACUGGGCGUAAAGCGAGCGCCGACGGUUACUUAAGCAGGAUGUGAAAUCCCCGGGCUCAACCUGGGAACUGCCUUCUGAACUGGGUGACUAGAGUGUGUCAGAGGGAGGUAGAAUUCCACGUGUAGCAGUGAAAUGCGUAGAGAUGUGGAGGAAUCCCGAUGGCGAAGGCAGCCUCCUGGGAUAACACUGACGUUCAUGCUCGAAAGCGUGGGUAGCAAACAGGAUUAGAUACCCUGGUAGUCCACGCCCUA
This 808-nucleotide ribosomal RNA is filed under the name uncultured bacterium. RNAcentral's name for it is "bacterial SSU rRNA". It matches the Rfam family "Bacterial small subunit ribosomal RNA", at positions 10 to 804 of the family's 1533-position model. The record is from RNAcentral.